UUGUGUAACCACAAGAUCAAUUAUGGAAACUGACAUAAUAUUGUUCUGACACAUCGAGAUGCUUACAGCAAUUUUUGAGUAUAAUGCUUUGUUGUGUAACCACAAAAGUAUUUAUAUUCUAUUUUGACUGUAUUAAAAUGAAGGGUCCUACUUAACUAAAAUAUUAUGGUUUGUUGUGUAAACACAAGGCUAUUAAUGUUUUAGAGGCCAGAGUUUUUAUUGAGAAUUGCAUGAGAUGCAAUUGGAAAGAGUUUCCUACCUUUAAACUUAUAAA
Molecule: long non-coding RNA, 274 nt
Filed under: Elaeis guineensis (African oil palm)
Lineage: Eukaryota; Viridiplantae; Streptophyta; Magnoliopsida; Arecales; Arecaceae
Description: long non-coding RNA (EGUI_LNC069514)
Source: RNAcentral